This 345-nucleotide long non-coding RNA is filed under the name Equus caballus (horse). RNAcentral describes it as "lncRNA (ENSECAG00000051414.1)". The record is from RNAcentral. Lineage: Eukaryota; Metazoa; Chordata; Mammalia; Perissodactyla; Equidae.
CUCCAAGAUCCAUCUGUCUUCUACACAGGCCAAACAGAAAUGUUGAAUGGGUAUUCCUGGGAAUUAAUGCCCCUGCACCUUUCACCUCCUUGAUGGUAGCAUAAAUCUCUUCAAUCCCUCCAGUGUCAUGACUCAGAUACAAUCAGACUUAUCAUUGGACACCAUAUCCCUCACCCAGGAUCCUAAGUAUGUGUCUUUGGAAACUUUGUAUUCAUUCCAAACAAUUGACCAGCGAUUUUCCAUUGUAACUUUGCGCACCUGGCCUUUGAAGUUUGAGUGAUGCCACUUGGCCACUGCCAUUCUGGGAUCCAAUUACUCCCACUGCACUGACUUUCCAUUUGAGUG